CUUUUAUAUGUUUUCUUUAUCUUCAAGCUAGUUUAGCCCCUCCAUCUGGUGAUCCUCAUGGUUUAUAUAUGGAAUGAAUGCAGAUCAAACCAUGCAAAUUGUAAUUCAUCACAAUCCAGUUUCUCCAAGAUUUCAGAAAGAUUUCUCAAUGACCAGUGAAAAUGGUUUAUUCAUAAACUCUUGCUUUGCUCACUGCCAGUCUGAGAGACAAAAUACAUGGUUUGCUGAUGAUUCUCCUCUUCUUGAAAACCAGGCAAUUGCACUUUUCUGGGGGACCGGUACUUUGAUUGAAGGCUGGUUAAGCUAUUGACUGUGCAUACCCCUGUGAUAACACCAGUCACAAUCUUAACUCAAGUACCUAGCAGAGGCGUCCAAGUUAUGCAAUAAGCAGAAAUCUCUAGUAUGAAGACUCUUGAUAUUCACAUAUAUGGAUAAUCCACAAGGGAAUGAAGACUGUUGAACCAUUACAUUAGACUCUUUGGCUGUUUAUUCCCCUACUGCCAGUUUUGUUAUCUAUCUGAAUUUGUAGAUAUUCAUUGCAGUAGAAAACUUUAUGUGAUUCAAUUUCCACUCAUUUUCACUCUUACUUCCCUGUAACUCCUUAGUCACACACUUGUAUCCUGGAUAUUUCCCUUGGAAAAUUUAACAUGCAAGUUUCCACAUGUGAGUUUCCAGUACUCAACAUUCAAGACUCAGGAAUUCAGUCCCCAGGUUAUUUGAAGUCACAGUCAUCCAUAGAUAGUCAAGCAUACAGUAUAGUGGCAUUUAAUGGUUUCCUUUUGUGCUUUCUGUGUUUUGGUUUUCUAAAAGUACGUGCCCAGCUACAAUUGAAAGGUAAACUGAAGUGAAUUUCCAGAAGUUAAGACAUUCAAAUAGGCAAAAGUAGAAAAUAAAGCCAAGACUGAGGGAUGAAGUUCAA
Molecule: long non-coding RNA, 919 nt
Organism: Rosa chinensis
Lineage: Eukaryota; Viridiplantae; Streptophyta; Magnoliopsida; Rosales; Rosaceae
Exons: 4
Source: RefSeq, a predicted model, not a curated record